CGUCAACAACUCCCCCAAGCUUACCUCUUGCUCGUCCCUGAGCAAGGAUGGACUCAAGAGUUUCUGCAGUGAUUUUAUGCCUUAAAGGUACACAUGUGUUCAAACAAGAUCUCAUCUCUAGGUUAGGGUAAAUUGUUAAGAUUUAAAACUUACUCAUAUUACCUUUCACCAUGGGGCUUGCAACCGUCACUUGUGUCUUGAGCAGUUAAAAGAUAGAACGGUCAAGUCAAGCACCAUAUCUCUUGUUCUUUGAUCAACUAUAACUCUGGAGUUUUUGUAGAUUUUUAAAUAAAACUCAGAGAUUCCUUGUAUGACUCUCUCAAUUCUCUCUUUUGUGGUAUUUCUGGAUCCUUACCAAGGCAGUGAUGAUAUAUGCCUUCUCUCAAAGCAUGUGGUAUUUUUGGUAUGAGGCAUAGUGACAUUGCCCUUCUCUCUCACCCUACUCUAAUGAGGCUUGAUAUCUGGAGCUCAUAGGUGGGAGACAACUAAUACAUACUUACAAGACAUUUAUUUCAUAGUCAAACCAUGGAUCCAGAGAAACAAGUCAAUAAGUCAAAUCAAGAUGUGCAUGUGUGGCGAAUGAAUGGUGUAUGGUGAUAAUGAUGAAAACAAUGGUGAAAGUCUAAUUCUACGUUUGCUCUUUCGAGGGGAUACAUACCUUUCUUGCACUUUGAAGUUUGAGGGGAAUGAGAUGCUCUAUAUUUUCUUUUUCUUUUCUCUCAGGUGGGUAUCUUGUAUCCCUAAUUCUACUAUCGGACACUUGUCCAUUUUUACCUCUAGUCUCACUUUCUCUUUUCUUUGAGGUUCUGGGCACUUGCCCCUUUUUAUUUCCUCGUAUUUUUCUCUUUUUUUUCAGAGCACUCACCCUCUUAGAAUAAUGUAGCAAGUGGUAGUAACCAAAAUAUCAAGAGCAUUUAUUUCACGGGGAAUAACAGGGAUAGGAUAAUGUUUUUGGCUAUUCUCUCCUGGAUAGGAGUAGAAUAAUUUUAGGUGAAUCUAGAGAUGGAAAGGAGUGGAUGUAUGUGGAUGCAUACUUCCGGAGUAGAAGCAGCAUGUUUGAGUGAACGUGUAAGUGAAUCUUGAUUUUAACCGCAUGACAAGCUCCUAGGGUCUACACAGCUUGACCACACUCAAUGCUCAUAAGCAGUAAAAAGUACAUGUAUUGUUCAUAGUCUAAUAAGCAUGUAUAUAUAGCUGUGGUAGGAUUUUAAACUCUCAUCAUACAGGAACUCAUCAUGCAACAUUUUAAAGAUUUUCAAAGAUAAAAUUCUCCAAAAUUCUAGCAUCUCUAGGAACAGAUAAACAGUAGCUCAAACUUCCCAUAUCAUAUAUGUUAACGACUUAGACUUUAGAUCAAGCACUCUUCCCACAAGUUUAGGUUUAGAGAAAAUCUUAAUUCAUAACAGUCAUACCUAAACUUGAGAGAGAUUUCAAUUUUGAGAACUAGUCAUGGCAGAGCAACUAUUCAUUAUUUCCGUGUGAGAGCUUAUCAUGAGGGUUCAUAGCAAACUUUAUUUAUUUAUUUAUUUAGCAAACUAAGCAAAGAUAUAUAUAUAUAAGCACAACAUCUUUAUUUGGAUUUUUAUGAUUAUGCAUCUUUUUAUUAUUUGAGUAAAGUAUAAACGUGAGUAGAAAUACUUAGCUGGAUAAAUGGGGGUGCUCUCCCCCAAGCUGGAUUUUGACGUAAUUUCUUCUGAUGUAGCUAGCAGGUAGCGGAGGUGUAUUUGAAUGUCGGUAGCAUCCUGACAGCGAUUAGGAUGUCCUCCGUCUGCUAGUCUUCUUUGGUCCUUGAAUUCUGUGGAGCUCAAAUAGACAACAAAGCUUUGUGGAACUGGUUAAGUGUUAGCAUAAAAAUCUCUUUGCCUUUAUCAUGUUGAGCUUCCUCUAAUAAAUAUUACUCUCUUUGGUAGGAUCAUAAGUUUAUUUUUAUAUUUUCAUUUUCAUAGGACAGGAAUAUAUUUAUUUUAUUUUUUUACGCCGCCACAGUGAAUGUACUUAUGGGUUUUAUACCACGAGCAUACUCGCAUGGGGCUUACUAUUUUAUGAUGCAGUGCAAUGAACAAAUAUUUUUGUUUUCUUUUCUAAUGCUAAUGUAGAAAAGUAAAUAUGCUAAUGCAAGUGAUGGAAUAAAAAAGGAAAAGGAAUGCAGAAAAGAUAAAUAUGGAUAAAUACUGAUUUUACCUUCCGGCAAGGAUCCAAUGUUUUAAGUCUUCUGGACAAGACUUCUCACCGUGUUCAUUCUUUGGGUGCGUCAUUUGAUUCAGGUGUGGACCUUGACGUUUGCACCUCUUGAUAUGGUGUCACCCAUGUUCUUCGUUUGCCUAGCAGUUCAAAGUGUGGCGUUGGCAGUAUCUUGCUUAGUGUGUUUGUGCUCGUAGUGUACCUGCUCAUAGAGACAAAGCAGAGAUCAAGUGCAUGGGCCCUGUUGGUGGAAAACACCAACAUAACCAAAAGUGUAUUUGUUCUUAUCUAACCUUAAGCAUAGUGAGCAAGACAAAUUUGAUGGAUAAUAAGUUCAUGCGUGUAGCAUUUAAAACAUUUGUCAGAUCAGAUUGAUUCAACCUUAUGGAAAGAUAAUCUAUCUAUGUAUAUGUCUUUUUCUUUAUAUCUCUCAAAGAUUGAAUGUGUAACAUUUUAGCUCAUAUGGUUAGGAGUGUGGGGAUCAAAGAUUAAAGGACUAAACAUGCUGAAUCAGUGGGGUUGGUUAAUUUGGAGUUAUAAAUCAUACAUGUUUGUCCCUUUUAUUCAUAUGAACGCCAGAACCAAUGAGAAGCUUAUAAAAGUGAUAGUCAAGUACCUUAAGGUGUUACUUUAAUUGAAGAGUGAUGGUACAGUCUCACCUUGUGGAAGCUUUCCUUUCUUAGCGGUUGUGCAUCGUGUUUGUGGCACCCUCCAUGGAUCAUCUCUUAUGAGCUACGUCUUCCUUGUGUAAAUUGUUAAAUUUGAUGUGUCUCUCUCUUUGUCUCCAAUGUGAGUUUAUCUCUGGACUUCCC
RNAcentral lists this long non-coding RNA (2993 nucleotides) under Sorghum bicolor (sorghum). RNAcentral's name for it is "long non-coding RNA (SBIC_LNC012642)". The record is from RNAcentral. Lineage: Eukaryota; Viridiplantae; Streptophyta; Magnoliopsida; Poales; Poaceae.